GAUGAAGAACGCAGCGAAAUGCGAUAAGUAAUGUGAAUUGCAGAAUUCAGAGAAUCAUCGAAUCUUUGAACGCACAUUGCGCCCCCUGGUAUUCCGGGGGGCAUGCCUGUUCGAGCGUCAUUUCACCACUCAAGCCUCGCUUGGUAUUGGGCAACGCGGUCCGCCGCGUGCCUCAAAUCGACCGGCUGGGUCUUCUGUCCCCUAAGCGUUGUGGAAACUAUUCGCUAAAGGGUGUUCGGGAGGCUACGCCGUAAAACAACCCCAUUUCUAAGGUUGACCUCGGAUCAGGUAGGGAUACCCGCUGAACUUAAGCAUAUCAAUAAGCGGAGGA
RNAcentral lists this unclassified non-coding RNA (331 nucleotides) under soil metagenome. Its description in RNAcentral is "partial contains 5.8S ribosomal RNA, internal transcribed spacer 2, and large subunit ribosomal RNA". The stretch from base 1 to 120 matches the Rfam family "5.8S ribosomal RNA", at positions 35 to 154 of the family's 154-position model. The record is from RNAcentral.